RNAcentral lists this ribosomal RNA (505 nucleotides) under uncultured bacterium. RNAcentral describes it as "partial 16S ribosomal RNA". It matches the Rfam family "Bacterial small subunit ribosomal RNA", at positions 29 to 523 of the family's 1533-position model. The record is from RNAcentral.
AGUGAACGCUGGCGGUAGGCCUAACACAUGCAAGUCGAACGGCAGCACAGGAGAGCUUGCUCUCUGGGUGGCGAGUGGCGGACGGGUGAGGAAUACAUCGGAAUCUACUCUGUCGUGGGGGAUAACGUAGGGAAACUUACGCUAAUACCGCAUACGACCUACGGGUGAAAGCAGGGGAUCUUCGGACCUUGCGCGAUUGAAUGAGCCGAUGUCGGAUUAGCUAGUUGGCGGGGUAAAGGCCCACCAAGGCGACGAUCCGUAGCUGGUCUGAAAGGAUGAUCAGCCAAACUGGAACUGAGACACGGUCCAGACUGCUACGGGAGGCGGCAGUGGGGAAUAUGGGACAAUGGGCGCAAGCCUGAUCCAGCCAUACCGCGUGGGUGAAGAAGGCCUUCGGGUUGUAAGCCCUUUUGUUGGGAAAGAAAUCCAGCUGGCUAAUACCCGGCUGGGAUGACGGUACCCAAAGAAUAAGCACCGGCUAACUUCGUGCCAGCCGCCGCAGUAA